AAAGAAGUGGCGGAAAACCGCCAAACGCAGCGGAAUCAUAAUCCGCGUGUCGGGGGUUCGAGUCCCUCCUCCGCUACCA
RNAcentral lists this transfer RNA (79 nucleotides) under Erythrobacter sp. Its description in RNAcentral is "tRNA-Met". It matches the Rfam family "tRNA". From Rfam's summary of the family: Transfer RNA (tRNA) molecules are approximately 80 nucleotides in length. The record is from RNAcentral. Lineage: Bacteria; Pseudomonadati; Pseudomonadota; Alphaproteobacteria; Sphingomonadales; Erythrobacteraceae.